GACGAACGCUGGCGGCGUGCUUAACACAUGCAAGUCGAACGGAAAGGCCCUGCUUCUGUGGGGUGCUCGAGUGGCGAACGGGUGAGUAACAAGCGAGUAACCUGCCCUUGACUUUGGGAUAACUUCAGGAAACUGGGGCUAAUACCGGAUAGGAGCUCCCGCUGCACGGCGGGGGUUGGAAAGUUUCGGCGGCUGGGGUUGGUCGCGGGGCUUAUGAGCUUGUUGGUGGGGUAGUGGCUUACCAAGGCUUUGACGGGUAGCCGGCCUGGGAGGGUGACCGGCCACAUUGGGCCUGAGGUAGGACCCGGACUGAUACGGGAGGCAGCGGUGAAGGAUUGUGCACGAUAGGCGGAGGCAGGAAGCAGCACCGCCGCGUGCGGGAUGACUGCCUUCGGGUUGGAAACCGCUUUCGCCUAAGACGAAGAGUGAGUGACGGUAAUGGGUAAAGAAGCAACGGCUAGCUACGUG
RNAcentral lists this ribosomal RNA (468 nucleotides) under uncultured bacterium. Its description in RNAcentral is "partial 16S ribosomal RNA". It matches the Rfam family "Bacterial small subunit ribosomal RNA", at positions 28 to 507 of the family's 1533-position model. The record is from RNAcentral.